RNAcentral lists this ribosomal RNA (253 nucleotides) under uncultured bacterium. RNAcentral's name for it is "partial 16S ribosomal RNA". It matches the Rfam family "Bacterial small subunit ribosomal RNA", at positions 524 to 776 of the family's 1533-position model. The record is from RNAcentral.
UACAUAGGGGGCAAGCGUUGUCCGGAUUUAUUGGGCGUAAAGAGCGUGUAGGCGGCCAGGUAGGUCAGCUGUGAAAACUCGAGGCUCAACCUCGAGACGUCGGUUGAAACCACCUGGCUAGAGUCCGGAAGAGGAGAGUGGAAUUCCUGGUGUAGCGGUGAAAUGCGCAGAUAUCGGGAGGAACACCUAUGGCGAAGGCAGCUCGCUGGGACGUUACUGACGCUGAGACGCGAAAGCGUGGGGAGCAAACAGG